Molecule: ribosomal RNA, 301 nt
Filed under: uncultured bacterium
Lineage: Bacteria
Description: partial 16S ribosomal RNA
Rfam family: Bacterial small subunit ribosomal RNA
Source: RNAcentral
CAGCCGCCGCGGUAAUACGUAGGUGGCAAGCGUUGUCCGGAAUUAUUGGGCGUAAAGGGCUCGCAGGCGGUUUCUUAAGUCUGAUGUGAAAGCCCCCGGCUCAACCGGGGAGGGUCAUUGGAAACUGGGAAACUUGGGUGCAGAAGAGGAGAGUGGAAUUCCACGUGUAGCGGCGAAAUGCGUAGAGAUGUGGAGGAACACCAGUGGCGAAGGCGACUCUCUGGUCUGUAACUGACGCUGAGGAGCGAAAGCGUGGGGAGCGAACAGGAUUAGAUACCCGGGUAGUCCCUGUCUCUUAUAC